UCUCUUAAAAAAAAUAAUAAUAAUAUUUAUUUAGGCACAUGAAAGAGGCAAACGAACAGCCAUUUCCAAUUGCAGUCCAAUCGCCUUCUCCACUCUCCAGACCUGAGAACACAUUCCAAUCCAGAAUUUAUCCCUAAAACCUACUCCAAUCCGGAAUUAAUCUCCAAAAACCAUUACUCUACUAGUCUACCACUGCAAAAGUUCCGACGAAAUCCAGAGGACCAGAGGUUGAGCUGCUUCAGCACGUUCGCACAUAGAGAGUUCGCACUUCACAAACUACUAAGGUCUCGCAAAUUUGGAGGUUGGUUUCCAUUUAUUUUAGGAAACUGAAAACCCUUGAUUCCUUGAAAAUCUUUCCAUGACUUUCGUUUUUAUUGGGGUUUUAAGAUUAAAAUACCCAAAAUCUUCUUCACAUAAAUAGAGCAAAGAAAAAUCUUAACAAGAAUUAAACAACUAAUGCCAUCACCUCGAAAUCUCUAAGUUUCACUUUCUCAAUUCCAAAAUCAUGAGCAUAUUACAGAUUUACAUAUUGCAGUCGCCAGUCGGUGUCGGUAUACCUGUGUUUGUGUAUGUUAUGAUAAAAAUUAAAAUUUAAAAAGUACCUGACCGAGAAUCAGAAAUGGGUCUUUGCUUAAUUUGAAGAACGGUAUGUUGAUCUGCAAUUUUGCAACAAAUUUGAAGUAAAAAAAAAAAAAAAGAAAAGAAGAAUUGAUGAGUGAUGAAUGCAAGCUUGGACUCCGCCACUACGGAUUACAGAAACUAGACUUCAGUCUUUAGUCUUCUGGUUGCAAUAAUUUUAGGAAUUUUUCAAUAAGUAUUAUUAUAUUGAGUAGUAGAUAUAAGGGAUGAUAUGUGGGGUCCAGGGUAUUAAGAGAUUUUGGGAAAAAUAUUAAUAUACAUUUUUGUGUUUUAGGCCUGAAAUGGUGAUAAACGUGUCCACAGAAAAGUGUAAUUUCAUAUUGACAACUCCUCCAAAGGAUAUAAAAAGUAUGACAACAUAUGAUAAGAAUGCGAUAUUAUUUCACAUUUUUUCAUUUUGUAAAAUUGUUAGCCAAACAAAAACUGAUUAAAAUUUUCUAUUCAAUUUGAAUAAAUUGAAGCUUAUUUCACAUUUUUCCGUUUCGUAAAGUUAUUGCAUAUUGAGAUUAAGAUCCAAAAAUGCAUUUUCUUUUUUAAAAGCUUAUUCUAUCCUUUUUUUUGGGUGUGUGAUCUAUUCUCUCUUUGUUUUGUUCAUUUCUUGGUUGCAGCAGAAUUGCUUGAUAAUCAGACUCUGCGUUUUCGACUGCAACCUCUACGGCCGCAUUGUCUACUUCAAUCACCACGCGACUACCACUACCACCAAUUUCUGAAUCCUUUCAUUUUGGGGACUCAUCAAUCAGGUUUUAUUGCUCUUUGUUUAUUAUUAUGUUUACAAGAAAAUUUGAAUCUGGAUGUGCCAAAAGGAAAAGGAAGGAAAAAGUUGAAAGGUUGAUUAAAUCUCAAGAGGGAGUACUUGAUAAGUUUUUUAAUUGUAGUAAACAAACACCUAAUGAAGACGUAGUUACUAAAGAAGUAUUUAAUGAGAAUGAUAACAGAAAUAAUACAAUUGAGGAAGAAUAUUGUGUGAUGAAUGAAGAGGUAUCUCUUGACAGAGAUAAUGAACCAUUUUGUGUCGAGGGGGCUCCAUAAUAAUUAAACGCCUAGGGCCUCUAAAUUCUCAGGGCCGGCCCUGCCCCCACCAC
This 1721-nucleotide long non-coding RNA is filed under the name Olea europaea (common olive). RNAcentral's name for it is "long non-coding RNA (OEUR_LNC013209)". The record is from RNAcentral. Lineage: Eukaryota; Viridiplantae; Streptophyta; Magnoliopsida; Lamiales; Oleaceae.